GUGGUUAACCCGCGAACGGGCUACCCACAAAAUCCGUUUGCGAUAUAUCAUAGACGAAUCUCUUGACUUCGCUGAAGCGAGUUACAUUAUUCCAAAACUGAGCCUGAGAAUUUAACUGUUGUAAAACGUCACGAAAUGGCAUACACUCCAAUCUCUGAAGACGAGCUGCAUAACUAUGGUGAAUUGCCCGAAAUAAGCGGUAAUUCAAUCAUUUAUGAACUUUCGGAUGCCAAGAUCCCUCCGAAUGCAAGAGAGAUUCUCGUUUAUCUCUGGGCCACAACCCAGAGUGACGAGGAAUUUCAUCGUUAUUACUAUAGAAUCCAAACCACAGAUGGCACGCGGUCCUUCACCCAGUACAUGAAUGUUGCUGCAUCCAAGGAUGUUUCUCUCAAUUCCGCCAACCUUUGGCUUCCUGUUUUUUCAGGAUACGGGCAAGUUACUGUACAAUUGAUUGACGCUGAAAAUCCAGGGGCAAAAGGCAAAAGCAUUGCUUGCAGACGCCAGACGAAAUGCCAGAAAGUUGGAGAAAAAGUACCUAUUUUCAGUGAAUUCUUCAUCCUGGGUUACAGCUAUUAAAGUUUUAAAACUUUCCGGCUAAAUAUGUUGUACCACCUUUUUUGAAAAUACCGUGUGAUUACGUUUAUAAAUAAAUUUGCUU
This is a long non-coding RNA of Dendronephthya gigantea, 658 nucleotides long. RefSeq lists it as uncharacterized. The transcript is spliced from 3 exons. The record is from RefSeq and is a predicted model, not a curated record. Lineage: Eukaryota; Metazoa; Cnidaria; Anthozoa; Malacalcyonacea; Nephtheidae.